Molecule: ribosomal RNA, 492 nt
Filed under: uncultured bacterium
Lineage: Bacteria
Description: partial 16S ribosomal RNA
Rfam family: Bacterial small subunit ribosomal RNA
Source: RNAcentral
AAUGAACGCUGGCGGUAUGCCUAACACAUGCAAGUCGAACGGCAGCACAGUAAGAGCUUGCUCUUACGGGUGGCGAGUGGCGGACGGGUGAGGAAUACAUCGGAUUCUACUUUUUCUUGGGUGAUAACGUAGGGAAACUUACGCUAAUACCUCAUACGACCUACGGGUGAAAGCAGUGGAUCUUCGGACCUUGCGCGAUUGAAUUAGCCGAUUUCGGAUUAGCUAGUUGGCGGGGUAAAGGCCCACCAAGGCCACGAUCCGUAGCUGGUCUGAGAGGAUGAUCAGCCACACUGGAACUGAGACACGGUCCAGACUCCUACGGGAGGCAGCAGUGGGGAAUAUUGGACAAUGGGCGAAAGCCUGAUACAGCAAUACCGCGUGGGUGAAGAAGGCCUUCGGGUUGUAAAGCUCUUUUGUUGGGAAAGAAAAGCAGCAGGUUAAUCCACCGCUGUUCUGACGGUACCCAAAGAAUAAGCACCGGCUAACUUCGUG